RNAcentral lists this ribosomal RNA (120 nucleotides) under uncultured bacterium. Its description in RNAcentral is "partial 16S ribosomal RNA". It matches the Rfam family "Bacterial small subunit ribosomal RNA", at positions 215 to 334 of the family's 1533-position model. The record is from RNAcentral.
UCGCUUGAAGAGGGGGUCGCGGCUGAUUAGCUAGUUGGUGGGGUAACGGCCCACCAAGGCUUUGAUCGGUAGCCGGCCUGAGAGGGCGCACGGCCACACUGGAACUGAAACACGGUCCAG